Molecule: ribosomal RNA, 163 nt
Filed under: uncultured bacterium
Lineage: Bacteria
Description: partial 16S ribosomal RNA
Rfam family: Bacterial small subunit ribosomal RNA
Source: RNAcentral
UAGGGAAUCUUCCACAAUGGGCGCAGCCUGAUGGAGCAACACCGCGUGAGUGAAGAAGGGUUUCGGCUCGUAAAGCUCUGUUGUUAAAGAAGAACACGUAUGAGAGUAACUGUUCAUACGUUGACGGUAUUUAACCAGAAAGUCACGGCUAACUACGUGCCAG